RNAcentral lists this microRNA precursor (58 nucleotides) under Tribolium castaneum (red flour beetle). RNAcentral describes it as "Tca-Mir-11626_pre stem-loop". The record is from RNAcentral. Lineage: Eukaryota; Metazoa; Arthropoda; Insecta; Coleoptera; Tenebrionidae.
UGGCAUGAUUGAUUUAGCUCAUGUUGAAUUGGUUCAUGAGUUGAUCAAGUAGGCCGAG